RNAcentral lists this long non-coding RNA (1605 nucleotides) under Calidris pygmaea (Spoon-billed sandpiper). Its description in RNAcentral is "lncRNA (ENSCPGG00000007413.1)". The record is from RNAcentral. Lineage: Eukaryota; Metazoa; Chordata; Aves; Charadriiformes; Scolopacidae.
GCACUCUGCUUCCGUUGCAGUGCCCUCCUGGCACGUGGUCUGGCAGUGAAGGUAGAAGGAGUGUGCAGGAAUGCCAGCCGUGUCCUGGGGGGUAUUACUGCAACAGCUCUGGGCAGAGGGCCCCCUCAGGACACUGCAGCCCAGGGUAAGUAGGAGAGCAUCAUAUUUAUGUACUCUGUGUAAGGAGAGGUGUCCUACAAGGGGUCUGCUUUACCCUCUUGGAAUAAUAGAGUAUUUUCCUGUGUUUGUGGCUGCAGGUACUAUUGUGUCACUAGAGCCCAGACCCCAGCACCCACUGAUGGCCUCUCAGGAGCUCCAUGUCCAGUCAGUCACUUUUGUCCUCUUGGAUCCGGGAGUCCAGCCCCGUGCCCCCCAGGCUCCCACAUGCCGCACACCCACGGAGAGCAGUGCUAUCCUUGCCCGGUGGGUGAAUUCUGUGUCUCUGGUGAGAAGCCACAGCCAUGUCCCCAGGGUGAGUUAUGGUUCCCACUUAAAUGUCUAGUUUGUCUUCGAUUUUCUAGAACAGAUUGUGAUCUUUCCUUUCUUUUCCAGGUUAUUUCUGUCCCAAGGGCACAGCUCUUCCGAUUGCUUGUCCGGCCGGGUCCUAUAACCCUUCCCAAAGGCAAGCCAGCUGCCUCCCCUGUCCUGAAGGCUUCUUCUGCCCCAGAAAUUCCUCUUCCUUUUUGGAGAACGAAUGUUCAGCCGGCCACUACUGCCCUCCCGGUACUGCUUCUGCAACUCAGUUCCCGUGUCCUCAGGGGACUUACAGCCCACAGCCUGGAAGCAGCCUGAUGUCUCACUGCACCCCCUGUGACCCAGGUAACCAGCAAAUAAACAUCUCUCAGGCUGAGGAGGGGAGAAUGUAUGAAAAUGUGUCUUGAACAUUCCUGACCUUCAGCAGAUGAACUGUGUAAGGACACAGUUUGUUCUCCGAAGUAUCUUUCUUUUUUUUUUUUCUGCUGGUACUAAUGGCAUUGCGUUGCUUUCUCAGGGCACUACUGUGCGCUUGCAGGGCAGCCGCGCGUUACAGGACCCUGUUUGGCUGGGUUCUACUGCAGCGGAGGUGUUUCUAGUCCCACACCUACAGAUGGUCUUCUGGGGAAUGCAUGCCCCAAGGGAAAUUACUGUCCUCUGGGCUCUGCCUUUCCACAGCCGUGUCCUCCUGGCUAUUAUAGCAACUCAACUGGGAAUACUGGGAUUGAGGACUGUCUCCUAUGUGAUGCAGGGUACUUCUGCAAUGGGACUGGACUUGUGUCUCCAACUGGAUUAUGUGAGGCUGGAUUCUACUGUAGUGGAGGAGCCAUUUCUCCUAAGCCUCCCAGGACAACGGUCAGUGGAGGACCGUGUCCACCUGGACACUACUGUGUGGUGGGGAGCACCAGAGCCCAGCCGUGCCCUGCGGGGAGUUACAGCCCAUUUUGGAGCAUGGCACAGUGUCUGGAAUGCCCGGAGGGCUUUUACUGCACAGUGGCUUCCACAAACUACACGGAUUGCCCUGCAGGUAGGUCUGAUGGCACCUACCCACUCAUUCUGGGAAGUUGUGUUUAAGAGAUGAGCAGACACCCUUGUGGCUUUUUGGAGUAGAUUUAUCAUCGGACUGGGUUG